CACCGCCAUCCUUCAAUCGCCCCUCUGCCUCCUCCGAACCGGGCUGCUCCAAACCCACGAGAGAGCAAAACGGAAACCCUGCAAGGUCGUCUGGAAGUGCUUUUCCUGAAGGAGAAGCAAAUCUUCGUCUCCUUAAGACAGAGAAGAGAGGAUGCCGACAUCAGACCCUGGAGGGUCACAAAUCGGACACAGAACGAGACAGAAUAGCAGACGUCUCUGUCUCUCUCUGCGCUGGGAGAGUACAGGAUUUGGGGUCAGGCUGGCGUGGUUUGAUCACAGAACUGGCUUCUCCUGCGUCUGCACAGCACCCACCUCCCCCGCGCAUCCAUCCACCUACCGGUCACGGUACUUGCAAAGCUCUGUUGUGAUUGUCUAUAUCUGUCUCUACAGCUGGACGGUAAACUCAGCGAGGGCAGGGCCACAGCUGAUCCGUCUCGAUAACCUCGUGCGCCUGGCUCUCAGGAGAAGCUCCACACGAUUGUUAUGUGACAGAUGGACACACAAAUGCGUGUAUAGUGACGUUGGGGUGCUGGGCAAGUUACGCCAGCUUUUGGGGCUGCAACCUCCCCAACCGGCAGCUGGCACUGCGUCCUCCAUAAUGACCCCGUUUCGAGGGUUCGGCGUGGGAAUACAUGGGCAGGUCCUGGUACAGUGGCCGGCACUCAUAAUGCUCUAAACAAGUGUCUUUUACCUCUUUUCUAGGCCAGAACUUUCGCUGUCACAUAAACUUCAGUACCGGGCAUUACUCAUGGCCCUUCCAUGGCAGGCUCUGCACAGAUCUUUGUUUGAGCCCACUCACCGAGGAAAACUUCCCCCUAACCUGAGGCCUUCUUUGGCAAGAGGGCCUCUAUUUCUAGGUCUCCUAAAAAGCCAGAGCAAUUGUGAGGAAAGUGAGAGUGUGAAGUCUCAUGUGGAAUUUAAGAAACGGAACUGAAGAUCCUAGGGGAAGGGAGGGGAAAAUAAGACGAAAUCAGAGAGGGAGACAAACCGCAGAGGCGCCUGACUCUAGGCAACAAACUGCGGGGUGCUGGGGGGUAACCGGGUGAUGGGCCCCAGGUGUUACGCAGCUGAUGAGUCAUGACCUCCGCCUCUGAAACGAGACGCUAAUGUGAAUUAAUUGAAUUUAGGUAAAAUAAAUUAAAAACUAAAGAACGCGAAGUCUCCCUGGAAAA
Long non-coding RNA from Ailuropoda melanoleuca (giant panda), 1172 nucleotides. RefSeq lists it as uncharacterized. The transcript is spliced from 2 exons. The record is from RefSeq and is a predicted model, not a curated record. Lineage: Eukaryota; Metazoa; Chordata; Mammalia; Carnivora; Ursidae.